CCCUUAGAUGUUCUGGGCCGCACGCGUGCUACACUGAGUAAUUCAAUGGGUAAGGGAACGCUAGAGCAUUACCUAAUCUUGAAAUUUGCUCGUGAUGGGGAUCGACGGUUGCAAUUUUCCGUCGUGAACGAGGAAUACCUUGUAGGCGCAUGUCAUCAUCAUGCGCCGAAUACGUCCCUGCCCUUUGUACACACCGCCCGUCGCGCCUACCGAUUGAGUGAUCCGGUGAGGCUCUGGGACCUGGACGGAAAGAGCGUUUCGCUUGUUCUGUUUGGGAAACUUGGUCGAACCUUAUCAUUUAGAGGAAGGAGAAGUCGUAACA
Molecule: ribosomal RNA, 322 nt
Filed under: uncultured eukaryote
Lineage: Eukaryota
Description: partial 18S ribosomal RNA
Rfam family: Eukaryotic small subunit ribosomal RNA
Source: RNAcentral